ACAGUGUGGCCAAUGCACCUAUUGUGUCCCUGCUGCAGAAAGGAGCCUGCCGAUUGGCCACUGUCUGCAGCACAUAGCACUGGCUUGUUAUAAAGGACUUGUCUAGGGGAGAGCCUGUAGGUACUCCAUUGUCUGAUGGAUCUGAGAACGCUGUCUGGGCUUCGUGCCAAGGGCUGGUAUUCACUCAGCAACGACGGCCUCACAGAGGAGCUGUGGGAAGCAGGAGGGAGAGCCUCUCUUAGGGUGCCACUACUAUGGAGACACAGCUGGGCUGAACAAGAUUUGCUUCAAACGACAACAAGAGAGACAGAAAGUAUCUGAUUCAACCGCUGCCCAGGCAGGCAGGCACCAGAAGAGCUAGCAGCCAAUCCGGCCAUGCUCGAAGCCAGUCCUGCAGCUCAGCCAAUCAGUGACAUCAUUGGUGAGAAACUCAUUUACAUCAUGCAGUAAUGAACUUUGUUUAACAUAGCCUUCUCCUUUUCCUGUUACCCCUCCCCCCUCAAGAUUAGGUUCUACCAUUAAUUAUUCUGGUGGCAUAAUUUAAAAUGCUAUGUGAAAAUGUGGCUACAUUCUUUCUGGUAGCUUUUACCCAGGCUCCAACUGAUGUCUGCAGUAACAGAAGUGGUUCUAAGUACAACGCUAUUUUGCUUUGGUCUUGCAAGUAUUGUCUUCUCCUUCUUAAAAUGAAAAAAAGAAAAAAAGA
RNAcentral lists this long non-coding RNA (703 nucleotides) under Rattus norvegicus (Norway rat). Its description in RNAcentral is "long non-coding RNA NONRATT006402". The record is from RNAcentral. Lineage: Eukaryota; Metazoa; Chordata; Mammalia; Rodentia; Muridae.